GACGAACGCUGGCGGCGUGCUUAACACAUGCAAGUCGAACGGAAAGGCCUCUUUCGGGGGGUACUCGAGUGGCGAACGGGUGAGUAACACGUGAGUAACCUGCCCUUGACUUUGGGAUAACUUCAGGAAACUGGGGCUAAUACCGGAUAGGAGCUCCUGCUGCAUGGUGGGGGUUGGAAAGUUUCGGCGGUUGGGGAUGGACUCGCGGCUUGUCAGCUUGUUGGUGGGGUAGUGGCUUACCAAGGGUUUGACGGGUAGCCGGCCUGAGAGGGUGACCGGCCACAUGGGGACUGAGCUACGGCCCAGACUCCUACGGGAGGCAGCAGUGGGGAAUAUUGCACAAUGGGUGGAAGCCUGAUGCAGCAACGCCGUGUGCGGGAUGACGGCCUUCGGGUUGUAAACCGCUUUCGCUCAUGACGAAGCUUUGUGUGACGGUAGUGGGUAAAGAAGCACCGGCUAACUACGUG
This 467-nucleotide ribosomal RNA is filed under the name uncultured bacterium. Its description in RNAcentral is "partial 16S ribosomal RNA". It matches the Rfam family "Bacterial small subunit ribosomal RNA", at positions 28 to 507 of the family's 1533-position model. The record is from RNAcentral.